GAUGAACGCUGGCGGCGUGCCUAAUACAUGCAAGUCGAGCGAACGGACGAGAAGCUUGCUUUUCUGAUGUUAGCGGCGGACGGGUGAGUAACACGUGGAUAACCUACCUAUAAGACUGGGAUAACUUCGGGAAACCGGAGCUAAUACCGGAUAAUAUUUUGAACCGCAUGGUUCAAAAGUGAAAGACGGUCUUGCUGUCACUUAUAGAUGGAUCCGCGCUGCAUUAGCUAGUUGGUAAGGUAACGGCUUACCAAGGCAACGAUGCAUAGCCGACCUGAGAGGGUGAUCGGCCACACUGGAACUGAGACACGGUCCAGACUCCUACGGGAGGCAGCAGUAGGGAAUCUUCCGCAAUGGGCGAAAGCCUGACGGAGCAACGCCGCGUGAGUGAUGAAGGUCUUCGGAUCGUAAAACUCUGUUAUUAGGGAAGAACAUAUGUGUAAGUAACUGUGCACAUCUUGACGGUACCUAAUCAGAAAGCCACGGCUAACUACGUGCCAGCAGCCGCGGUAAUACGUAGGUGGCAAGCGUUAUCCGGAAUUAUUGGGCGUAAAGCGCGCGUAGGCGGUUUUUUAAGUCUGAUGUGAAAGCCCACGGCUCAACCGUGGAGGGUCAUUGGAAACUGGAAAACUUGAGUGCAGAAGAGGAAAGUGGAAUUCCAUGUGUAGCGGUGAAAUGCGCAGAGAUAUGGAGGAACACCAGUGGCGAAGGCGACUUUCUGGUCUGUAACUGACGCUGAUGUGCGAAAGCGUGGGGAUCAAACAGGAUUAGAUACCCUGGUAGUCCACGCCGUAAACGAUGAGUGCUAAGUGUUAGGGGGUUUCCGCCCCUUAGUGCUGCAGCUAACGCAUUAAGCACUCCGCCUGGGGAGUACGACCGCAAGGUUGAAACUCAAAGGAAUUGACGGGGACCCGCACAAGCGGUGGAGCAUGUGGUUUAAUUCGAAGCAACGCGAAGAACCUUACCAAAUCUUGACAUCCUUUGACAACUCUAGAGAUAGAGCUUUCCCCUUCGGGGGACAAAGUGACAGGUGGUGCAUGGUUGUCGUCAGCUCGUGUCGUGAGAUGUUGGGUUAAGUCCCGCAACGAGCGCAACCCUUAAGCUUAGUUGCCAUCAUUAAGUUGGGCACUCUAAGUUGACUGCCGGUGACAAACCGGAGGAAGGUGGGGAUGACGUCAAAUCAUCAUGCCCCUUAUGAUUUGGGCUACACACGUGCUACAAUGGACAAUACAAAGGGCAGCGAAACCGUGAGGUCAAGCAAAUCCCAUAAAGUUGUUCUCAGUUCGGAUUGUAGUCUGCAACUCGACUACAUGAAGCUGGAAUCGCUAGUAAUCGUAGAUCAGCAUGCUACGGUGAAUACGUUCCCGGGUCU
Molecule: ribosomal RNA, 1372 nt
Filed under: uncultured bacterium
Lineage: Bacteria
Description: bacterial SSU rRNA
Rfam family: Bacterial small subunit ribosomal RNA
Source: RNAcentral